RNAcentral lists this ribosomal RNA (257 nucleotides) under uncultured bacterium. RNAcentral describes it as "partial 16S ribosomal RNA". It matches the Rfam family "Bacterial small subunit ribosomal RNA", at positions 98 to 353 of the family's 1533-position model. The record is from RNAcentral.
CGGGACGGGUGAGUAACGCGUGGGUAACCUGCCUUAUACAGGGGGAUAACAGUUAGAAAUGACUGCUAAUACCGCAUAAGCGCACAGGAUUGCAUGAUCUGGUGUGAAAAACUCCGGUGGUAUAAGAUGGACCCGCGUCUGAUUAGCUGGUUGGUGAGGUAACGGCCCACCAAGGCGACGAUCAGUAGCCGACCUGAGAGGGUGACCGGCCACAUUGGGACUGAGACACGGCCCAAACUCCUACGGGAGGCAGCAUG